AUGCCCCUUCCUAGUUGUGAAGGAUUCGUCUCCGAUUCAACUGGUUCUGCACGCGCAGCCGAGGACGGCCACCGCGAGCCAUUUCAUAACCCGGCUCCUCCGGCCCCUGUGACGGGAAUUACCAACCCCUGCCGGGAUGCGGAGGGCCGGGGCUUUUGCUGCGCCCCCAGCGGGGCCGCACACCCGCGUCCCCGACACCCGCGGCUCCCCCCUGCCCGCACCCAGCCCCGCCGCGGCUCCCCGGGGGCUCCCCGGCCCCUCUCCAACCUUUGUCCUCCCGCCGCCGAGGAGCGCAAGGACGCGGGGGCAGCCGCGGUGUCGCCGUGCGGCUGGAAGCGCAGCCCGGCCGCUUCCCCCCCCCCCCCGGGGCCGGGGCCCCCCCCCCCGCGGCCUAGCCGGGCGCAGCCGGCCUCGCCUAGCGAUGCCGCCGGCGGCCUGACAGACGGACAGGCGGCCGGGCGGGCGGACAGACGGACAGGCGGCCGGCCCUGCCCGCGCGCGGCCGUUGGGCGCGUGCCGGGGCUCGGCGCUGAGGGGAGACGAGGGGGGGAUAAGGGGGGAGGGGGGGGGGGGGGGGACUGUGAAGCGCCGCAACCCGCCCGCAGCCUCACCUGGAACGGCGCCGAGGCCAGGCGGUGCUGGCGGUGCCGGCGGCUCCCUGAGGAGCCCGGCGGCCCCCGGGGAAGGGCUGCGAGGCGCCGGGGGUGGGGGGACGGCGGCGCUACAGCGGCCCCCGGGCCAGCCUCCGCCCCAUGGCGUGCGGCGCGGUCUCUAUGGCGACUGCGGGGCCGGGACGGAGCCGGCCCGCCCGCCCGCGGGGAGGGCCGAGGGCUCGGCGCCGAGCCGGGGGCGCUCAGGGGGCUGCGGAGCGGCCCGCGGCCCCCCCCCGCGUUAACCCCCUCGCCGCCGCCAUCCCCGCGGCGCCGCCGCUCGCAGCCCGCCCGCUCCGCCGCCUCCGCCGCCCUUCCUCGGCCGCCGCGCCACCGAGCCCGCUGCCCGCCGGGGCCCGCCCCCUUCCAGCCUCCCGCGGCGCCGAUUGGGCGGCGGCGGAGAUCCCCGCGGGGGGAUUGGCUGGCGGCGGGGUCAAUCACGGGGAGGGAGGAGGACGGGCUUGAGGCGGCGGCGGCGGGGCCGGGGUUGGUUGAGCGGCGCGGAGCCCCGCCGCAGCCGCCCCCGCGCGGUGCUGAGGGGACGGCGGGGCCCGGCCGGGCCGCGGGGCUGCAGCUGGAGCCGCCUCCUCGCCGGCCCCGCUGCCCGGAGCUUGGGGCUCUGAGGAGAAGGGCUCUGUGCUUCGGGGGGCUGCGGCCAGGUGCUCGGCCCCCGAUACGUGCGCGCCGCCACGUACCGGCUGCAGGGGGCCCGGCCGGCAGGGCAGCUGCGUUAGGAGGAGCGGGAUGCGGGUGCCUGCAGCUCGGCACAAAGCAGGGACCCGGCCCUGGGGCUGCCGAGCCAGCCCUGACUGCUGGCACUUGCUCAGGGGCAGCUCCACCAAGGGGCUUCUUCCGUCAGAGAGAGCUAACGUUUCUCCGGCUUGGAAAAAGAAGAAACUGCAUUUCUUAA
RNAcentral lists this long non-coding RNA (1560 nucleotides) under Anas platyrhynchos platyrhynchos (common mallard). Its description in RNAcentral is "lncRNA (ENSAPLG00000018524.1)". The record is from RNAcentral. Lineage: Eukaryota; Metazoa; Chordata; Aves; Anseriformes; Anatidae.